This 3979-nucleotide long non-coding RNA is filed under the name Marmota monax (woodchuck). Lineage: Eukaryota; Metazoa; Chordata; Mammalia; Rodentia; Sciuridae. The record is from RNAcentral.
GCAGGCGCUGCAGGUGGAGGUGACCGAGUUUCGGGCGUCAGGCUGUCACUCCCUAGCGGCCCGUCAGCCCAGCGGUUCCUUCUCCGCUGCGUAGUCAGUCUGCGUCCUCGAAAACGCCGGGACGGGCCCCGUUCUGCGCAGGAGGAAUCCCGCGCGGCGGCAGCGGGGGACUCGAGCCACCGGGUCCCAUUCCUUUGACCGGCCUGGCCUGCAGGUCCCAGCGCGGUGCGUCUCUUCCACCCGCACUUCAGGGGCCCGUGGGCCUAGAGCGCCGCGCCGUGCCGGGGCUCACCCGGGCGCCAGGCUCAGUCCGCGCGCCCCCGGGAUGGCGAGUGGGAAUGUGCACCAGCGAGCGCCCGAGGACCCAGAAACCAGAGCAGCGGAGUGCGGCCGUGGUGUGAGGGCACGUCCAGGGCACGUAGGGAAGGCCUCUGAGAAGUGCAGCUGCUGGAGAGGAGGGAGCAAGGCCCAGGCCCCGAGGGGGAGCGCGGUGUCUGGGGAACCAGGAAGGGCUGCUAGGAGAGGAUCGGAGCCACAGAGAGCCACCGCGGAAUCUGGAACUCCCUCUGUAGGGACGGCCUCACUGAGCAGUCUGAACCGGGGUUCCGAGGUCUGACUGCCAUUCCAGAACCUUCUCUCAGCUCCUGCAGAGUGGGCUGCAGAAAAGACGAGCAAGGGGCCCUCCAAGUGGUUCUUCCAGGGUCCAGGGAUGCAGAUUUACAAACCAGGUGUAGCAGGCUGUUCUGCCUUGAGAAACGCCACAGAGGAGGCCGCUUAAACAACAGCACUCCUUCCUCACAGUUCUAGAGGCUGAAAGCCAAGACCAAGGUGCCGGAAGAGCGGUUUUCUGGUGGGGUCUCCUCCUUGGCUUGCAGACAGCUGCCUUCUGGCCUUGUCCUCAUGUGCCCUUUUCUCUGAGUGCAUGAAUUCCUGGCCUCUUCCUCUUUUGGGGACACCAGUCCCGUUAGCCUGUUAGUUUAGGGCCCCACCCCAGAUGACUUCAGAUUGCCUUAAAUACCACCUUUUAAAAGGCCUUCACUACUAAUACAGACACGUUGGAGUUUAGGGCUUCAACCAGUGGGUUUGGAGGAGACAGCUUAGCCUAUAACACCAGUAAAGGCAGCCAGAAAAGUUGAAGGAGAGCUGAUGGGCAGGGCCGUGCUUUCAGAGAGCCUUCUCCAAGGAGGAGCUUCGUGCUGCCUGAGGCUGCUUAUCAUUUGGUCUCAGCUCCAACGGUUUUUCUUGGCAAGGCUAUCUCUGACAGCCCAUCUAAACUUGCUCACCAGCCCAGCGCCCUCCGUGUUCUAUACGGUGUGGUACUACCCAGUGCCACCAAGAUCCAAGGAUGCAAAUGAUGUACACCCACUGAUGAAAUCACCUCGUUACCUCGUCAAUCACGAGUACUUGUUUGUGGUCUGCCUCCUCCCAGACAAGACAGCAGAGGCCCUGCUCAUUUUAUUUUAUAUUCUCAGCCCCAGAAGAGUGCCCCAAAGUCCUGAAGUCCUAAAUGCUUUUUUUUUUUUUUUUUUAAAGAGAGAGUAUUUUUUUUAAUGUUUAUUUUAUUUCUUUUUUUUUUUUUUUUUUUUUUUUUUAGUUUUCAGUGGACACAACAUCUUUGUACGUGGUGCUGAGGAUCGAGCCCGGGCCGCACGCAUGCCAGGCGAGCACGCUACCGCUUGAGCCACAUCCCCAGCCCUAACUAAAUGCUUCUUGAAUGGGUGUCUCCUGCAACCUUGGGGUAGGACUUGAAGGAUGAGCAGCAGAUUUGCAGAUGCAGGGGUGUGUGGAAAGAAAGGAAAGAACCCCAGUCAGACUGAAAGUCAAGCUGGUUGGCAAGAUGUCAAGGAGGUGAGAACAGAGACGUAGGCCAGUCCCUUAAGCAACAGGAAGCUGGAGAUGAUUCUGCGGAUACAAGGAAAAAGUAGCUUGGAUUGUACAUUUUUCACCUUUACCAAAGCAGAUUAAGUGGCUUAAAACAGUACAGCUUAUCUUACCACUCUAGAGGUAGGUCCCAGGUCUGAGAUGGGUUAGCCGAGCUGAAAAGGUACUAGCCAGGCUGGCUCCUCCCGGCGGCCUUGGGGCAGAGCCUGUUCCCUUGUCUUUUGUGGCUUCUAAGGGCCACCUGCAUUCCUGGCAUCCUGGCCCCUUCCUCCGUCUUCAGAGCCGUGGCCUGUGGGGCCUGGCUCUGGGCUUCCAACAUCAUUUCCUCUUCUCUCACUCUUUGCCUCCCUCCUUCCCCUUUAGAGCCCUUGUAAUUGUUUGGGGCUCACCUGGAUGAUCCAGGUUGGCCUCCCCUCCUCAGGAGCCUUCACUUCAUCACAGCUGCAAAUUCCCUUUUGCCAGGUAAGAUUCACAAGUUCCUGGGGUUAGGAGAUGAACAUCCCUGGGGACCCAUUGUCCUGCCUGCCACGGGGAGCAAAGCCAAGCAGGCAGGACUGAGUGUGCCUGGACCAGCUGUCUGGGUUCUGCCUCUCGCCCCCUGGCAAGGCGAUGACCCCUGCCUCUGAUACACCAUUGGACUAUCAGAUGCUAAGUAAAACAGAUGGAGUUGCUGCCUCCUCAGCUUCUACCCUGGUGGAGAGAAUUUUUCAGAUUCUUUUCUGUUAUUACACUGGACAUGGAUGUUCUCUGAAGACCCAAAGUUGAAUAAAGAAACCUGCUCUAUACAAGCUCUGUGCAUCAGUAAGCCGAGGCACCACAGGAUAGGCAGGGCACGUGUGGGGCACCUAAGAGUGACUAUCCUGUCCACAGGCAUUUACUGAGUACUUAAAUCUGUGCCAAAACUUUUAGAUGUGUGGGUAUUCAAAACAUAGAUCACUGUUUUCAUGUAGCUUACAUUCCAGGAGGCUAAGACAGACAGCAUUUAUAAGUAGAUUAUAGAGUCUGUUAGGAUGCUGAGUGUUUUAGGCAGCUUUUGUGUCACUGUGACCAAAAUACUCAAGAAUCACUUAGAAAAGAAAAGUUUAUUUGGGGCUCACAGUCUCAGAGGUCUCAGUCCAUAGAUAACUCACCCUAUUUCUCUAUUUCUCUGGGCCCAAGGUGAGACGGCAUGUCAUGGUAGGGACCCCUGAGGAGAGCCGCUGUGGGUGGGGCCCAGGGAAGAUACACCUCUGCAAGGCACUCCCCAAGGACCCACAGCCUGCAGCCACACCCUUCCAGCCCACGGUCACCACCCACCGAGUCCACUGAAACUGGGGUGGACAGAUAGGUCACAGCUCUCAGAUCCAGUCAUUUCACCCCUGAGUAGUCCUGCAGUAAGGAGCUUUUGGAUGACGCCUCAUAUCUAAAUCAUAACGGAGUGUUUUGGACGACGCCUCAUAUCUAAAUCAUAACGGAGUGUUUUGUUAAAAAAAAAAAAAGAAAGGGCUGGGGAUGUGGCUCGAGUGGUAGCGCGCUCGCCUGGCGCAUGCGGCCCGUGGACCCUCAGCACCACAGACAGACAAAGACGUUGUGUCCGCCGAAAACUAGAAAAUAUAUAUAUAUAUUAAAAAAUUCUCUCUCUCUCUCUCUCUAAAAAAAAAGAAGAAAGAAAGAAAGAAAAAGGCAGGUGAAAGGAGAUCAAGAGGGAAGGGGGAAGGGGCUGGGGCUCAUGGUAGAGCCUGGUCUACAUGUGUGAGGCACUGGGUUCCAUCCUCAGCGCCACAUGUAAAUAAAUUAGUAAAAUGAAAGGUCCAUCAAAAUCUAAAAAAAGUAUUAAAAAAAAAAGGCGGGCACAGUGGCGCAUGCCUGUAAUCCCAGCUGCUUGGGAGGCUGAGGCAGGAGAAUCACAAGUUCAAGGCCAGCCUUCAGCAACUGUGGAGUCCCUAAGUAACUUAGUAACUUAGCAAGACCCCAUCUUAAAAUUAGAUUUUAAUAAGGGCUAAGGAUAUAGGUAUAGUUCAGUGGUAAAGUGCCCCUCGGUUAAACCUCUAUACCAAAAAAAAUUAAAAAGGAUUUGUAGGGGCUGGGGAUGUGGCUCAAGCGGUAGCGUGCUCACCUG